AAAGACAUAAAGCAAUCUACUGUGAAGCAGAAGGACUAGAGGAAGCAAGUUCAAGAUCAGUUCACAAUCUCUCGAGGUCUCUGAGCACGCCGGUGUUCACUCAGCCUAGUGACUGGGAGGGAUGUGGGUGCAGCCACAUACCCUAAAAGGCUGUUCAGCUACCUGGGGAAGCAAGCCCGCAUCAAGGAGCAAGGUCCUGGAGGUGCCUGUGUCCGCAGCCCCAGGCUUCUCUCGAUGGCUCCCAUGAGGAGCCCUGGGGACAGGAAAAAGGCCCGGGUGGCUCUAAAAACAGCCGCCUCUUCACCUGCAGAAUCGGCUUCUCUCUGUGCAUUAUCAGCAAAGGGAGUGAAAAGCGUACCAGAGGGGUGAUUUGAAUUUCAUUUUCUCAGUAUGUCCCCCUGUGGGGAACGCUGCAUGGUGCUGCAUGCUGAUUCAAAGAAAACUCACUGCUUGCUGGGGUUUAAGGCUAGUCGUGGGCAGCUCAUGUCGCACUGGGCUGCGGGGGGGCCCUCAGAAUGCCUGGGGGAUCACACAACUGGGGACUGGCCCAGCAACCUUUGCGGAGAAGCUGUGUGAUUCCAGCAGGCCCCAGACCCCCUGCGGACCCCCGUGUCCUCAUCUAUAAAAUGAGCGAGUCGCACACUGCGACCCUUCACCUCACUUCAGGGAGAAGAUAAAGAGGCCUCAAGACCUAUCAGCCUUGGAGCCAAACCCCAGGCUUUGUGAUCAAAAGACAAAUAACCAGCCAUUCCCACUGCGUCUCUCAAACCUGCUGAGCGGCACAAAUGUUUCCUUCUUAUAAACAAGCUUACCUGAAGAAGGCGAAGUAAGCCAGACCCUGAAAUCCCACGCAGUUUUUGGCAGACCCCUUAGGAGAAACUGCUGCCGACAGCUUAUCAAGUGUCUUUCUC
RNAcentral lists this long non-coding RNA (911 nucleotides) under Equus caballus (horse). RNAcentral's name for it is "lncRNA (ENSECAG00000048151.1)". The record is from RNAcentral. Lineage: Eukaryota; Metazoa; Chordata; Mammalia; Perissodactyla; Equidae.